CUACGGGUCGCUCCAGUGAGGAAUAUUGCACAAUGGGGGGAACCCUGAUGCAGCAACGCCGCGUGGAGGAUGACGCAUUUCGGUGUGUAAACUCCUUUUAUAUGCCAAGAAAAUGACGGUAGCAUAUGAAUAAGCACCGGCUAACUCCGUGCCAGCAGCCGCGGUAAUAGGGAGGGUGCAAGCGUUACUCGGAAUCACUGGGCGUAAAGGACGCGUAGGCGGGUUGGAAAGUCAGGUGUGAAAUCCUACAGCUUAACUGUAGAACUGCACUUGAAACUUCUAAUCUAGAGUAUGGGAGGGGGAGAUGGAAUUAGUGGUGUAGGGGUAAAAUCCGUAGAUAUCACUAGGAAUACCUAAAGCGAAGGCGAUCUCCUGGAACAUUACUGACGCUAAGGCGUGAAAGCGUGGGGAGCAAACAGGAUUAGAUACCCUGGUAGUC
This 439-nucleotide ribosomal RNA is filed under the name uncultured bacterium. RNAcentral's name for it is "partial 16S ribosomal RNA". It matches the Rfam family "Bacterial small subunit ribosomal RNA", at positions 339 to 795 of the family's 1533-position model. The record is from RNAcentral.